This 235-nucleotide ribosomal RNA is filed under the name uncultured bacterium. Its description in RNAcentral is "partial 16S ribosomal RNA". It matches the Rfam family "Bacterial small subunit ribosomal RNA", at positions 104 to 334 of the family's 1533-position model. The record is from RNAcentral.
CCGGGGUGGAGUAACGCGUGGGUAACCGUGCCUCAUACAGGGGGAUAACGAUUGGAAACGAUUGCUAAUACCGCAUAAGCGCACAGUACCACAUGGUACAGUGUGAAAAACUCCGGUGGUAUGAGAUGGACCCGCGUCUGAUUAGCUAGUUGGUGAGGUAACGGCCCACCAAGGCAACGAUCAGUAGCCGACCUGAGAGGGUGACCGGCCACAUUGGGACUGAGACACGGCCCAG